GCGAAAGCAUUUGCCAAGAAUGUCUUCAUUAAUCAAGAACGAAAGUCAGAGGUUCGAAGGCGAUCAGAUACCGCCCUAGUUCUGACCGUAAACGAUGCCAACUAGCGAUCCGCCGGUGGAUUUUUAGCCCUGGUGGGUAGCUUCCCGGAAACGAAAGUCUUCCGGUUCCGGGGGAAGUAUGGUUGCAAAGCUGAAACUUAAAGGAAUUGACGGAAGGGCACCACCAGGAGUGGAGCCUGCGGCUUAAUUUGACCCAACACGGGUAAACUCACCCGGCCCGGACACCGUAAGGAUUGACAGAUUGAUAGCUCUUUCAUGAUUCGGUGGUUGGUGGUGCAUGGCCGUUCUUAGUUCGUGGAUCGAUUUGUCUGGUUUAUUCCGAUAACGAGCGAGACUCUAGCCUACUAAAUAGUAACGAGAUUAUCAAUGUCUCAGUUGCUUCUUAGAGGGAUUUUCGGUGUUUAGCCGCACGAGAUUGAGCAAUAACAGGUCUGUGAUGCCCUUAGAUGUCCGGGGCUGCACGCGCGCUACACUGGCGAAAUCAGCGUGCUGUAUCCAUUCUCGAAAGGGAUUGGUAAACCCAUGAAAAUUUGCCGUGCUUGGGAUCGGAAAUUGCAAUUAUUUUCCGUGAACGAGGAAUUCCAAGUAAGUGCGAGUCAUCAACUCGCUCUGAUUACGUCCCUGCCCUUUGUACACACCGCCCGUCGCUGCCCGGGACUGAGCCAUUUCGAGAAGAUCAGGGACUGGUGGACUGUGGCCUCUUCGGAGGUCCGGUUCGCUGGAAACUGAUUUGAUCGCAGUGGCUUGAACCGGGCAAAAGUCGUAACAAGGUAGCCGUAGGUGAACCUGCGGCUGGAUCA
This 860-nucleotide ribosomal RNA is filed under the name uncultured soil eukaryote. Its description in RNAcentral is "SSU rRNA". It matches the Rfam family "Eukaryotic small subunit ribosomal RNA", at positions 945 to 1828 of the family's 1831-position model. The record is from RNAcentral.